This is a long non-coding RNA of Telopea speciosissima, 151 nucleotides long. RefSeq lists it as uncharacterized. Lineage: Eukaryota; Viridiplantae; Streptophyta; Magnoliopsida; Proteales; Proteaceae. The transcript is spliced from 4 exons. The record is from RefSeq and is a predicted model, not a curated record.
CCUAGAUCCACUAGAUAAGAAAAAUAUUACAAAACAAGUAGGUUUGACUUUGUUUUACACUUACUUUUCUUGUAAACCUACUUGUUUUGUAAUAUUUUUUCUCAUCUAGUAGAUCUAGGAAAUUGCCCCCGCUCUAUAUGUGUUGUAAUUU